UACCUGCAGCUCGAGUGGUAACCGCUAUUAUUGGGCCUAAAGCGUCCGUAGCCGGUUUGGUAAAUAUCCGGGUAAAUCGUGAGGCUUAACUUCACGAAUUUCGGAUAGACUGCCAGACUUGGGAUCGGGGGAGGUCAGAGGUACUCCAGGGGUAGCGGUGAAAUGUUGUAAUCCUUGGAGGACCACCGGUAGCGAAGGCGUCUGACUAGAACGAGUCCGACGGUGAGGGACGAAGCCCUGGGGCGCAAACCGGAUUAGAUACCCGGGUAGUCCAGGGUGUAAACUAUGUGGGCUUUGUAUUGGAGGUCCCACGUGGGCGUCCAGUGCAGAAGAGAAGUUGUUAAGCCCACCGCCUGGGAAGUACGGUCGCAAGGCUGAAACUUAAAGGAAUUGGCGGGGGAGCACAGCAACGGGAGGAGCGUGCGGUUU
This 429-nucleotide ribosomal RNA is filed under the name uncultured archaeon. RNAcentral's name for it is "bacterial SSU rRNA". It matches the Rfam family "Archaeal small subunit ribosomal RNA", at positions 474 to 903 of the family's 1478-position model. The record is from RNAcentral.